GGAGAGAUGGCAGAGUGGUCGAUCGCGCUGCAUUGGAAAUGCAGUGUACCGCAAGGUACCGAGGGUUCGAAUCCCUCUCUCUCCGCCA
RNAcentral lists this transfer RNA (88 nucleotides) under Opitutales bacterium. RNAcentral describes it as "tRNA-Ser". It matches the Rfam family "tRNA". From Rfam's summary of the family: Transfer RNA (tRNA) molecules are approximately 80 nucleotides in length. Their secondary structure includes four short double-helical elements and three loops (D, anti-codon, and T loops). Further hydrogen bonds mediate the characteristic L-shaped molecular structure. tRNAs have two regions of fundamental functional importance: the anti-codon, which is responsible for specific mRNA codon recognition, and the 3' end, to which the tRNAs corresponding amino acid is attached (by aminoacyl-tRNA synthetases). tRNAs cope with the degeneracy of the genetic code in two manners: having more than one tRNA (with a specific anti-codon) for a particular amino acid; and 'wobble' base-pairing, i.e. permitting non-standard base-pairing at the 3rd anti-codon position. Lineage: Bacteria; Pseudomonadati; Verrucomicrobiota; Opitutia; Opitutales. The record is from RNAcentral.